AACAAACGCUGGCGGCGUGCCUAAUACAUGCAAGUCGAACGGGGAAAGCUUUCGGGUGAGUACUAGUGGCGCACGGGUGAGGAACGCGUGGAUAAUCUGCCUUAGAGUGGGGGAUAACUAGUCGAAAGAUUAGCUAAUACCGCAUAAGACCACGAGAGCUGCGGCUUUUGAGGUCAAAGGUUUUUCGCUCUAAGAUGAGUCCGCGUAAGAUUAGCUAGUUGGUGAGGUAACGGCUCACCAAGGCGACGAUCUUUAACUGGUCUGAGAGGAUGAUCAGUCAAACGGAAAUAGAGAAGCGGCCAAGACCCAUAGGGGGGGAAGAAGUGGGGAAUAUUGCAAAAGGGAGGAACCUCUGAUGCAGCGCCCCCGGGGGAGGAAUGAGGGCUUUCGGGGCGAAAAGCUUUGUCGCGGGGAAAUAACAAAAUGAAGGUACCUUGUAAGAAAGAACCGGCUAACUUCGUG
This 462-nucleotide ribosomal RNA is filed under the name uncultured bacterium. Its description in RNAcentral is "partial 16S ribosomal RNA". It matches the Rfam family "Bacterial small subunit ribosomal RNA", at positions 30 to 507 of the family's 1533-position model. The record is from RNAcentral.